GCCACUCUUUCUCUCCUUUCCAUUGUAGGCUGCAUGGUGUGGCUGCAAAGUACGCACAGCUUUUUUUCUUUUGAAGCAGCUUAGAGGAUGGUAUAUGGUUUCAUUUAUUCCUGAAGAGCCCAAAAGGGCCCUCGAGUCUCUGAGCUAUAUUCACACCAUGAAAACGCACGUGUGAGAAACUUCCACAACAGGAUCAGUAAUUAUUUUAGCUGUCCUUUGGGCUUUGCCACAUGUCCAAAAGGCACUCGUGCAAAGUAUUUUCUAUCAAUAUUUCAUCAUAAGAAGUCGGUGCAAAGACUUUGAGUCUCGCUUUGCUGGCGCAGAUCUUUUUGAAUAAAAACUCUCCGGUGCCCUCACCCCACCAAAAUAACCCGUGUUGUCUCCGGAGCUGCCGCGUAGUGCCACGUGGUCGGCUGACAGCAGCUGCAGCAACAGGCAAGACCAAGCAAUGGGAAAACGGGACAGUUAGAAGGCAAGAGGGUAUUUGGCACAUUUAUCCACUGUCUGCUCCUUGCAAAGCUCUUCCAGAGCCUGACUGUAGCUCUGACUGUCACACUGUGUUUGAAGACCAGGUCCAAGAAAUGACUCGGGGCCCGUCUGUGUUGCCAAAUAACUGCGCUCGGUUGUUUGCUCCUGGUCUUUGCCGUCUGACUGGCCAUGUAGAUGCUGCUUUGAAGCGAGCCAGCUAGUUCUCUCCAAGAGGAAACUCUCCAGGGCUGCUGUCACAAAUGCAAUGCGUAUUCUCAUCACCGUGCUGUCUCACGGUUCUGCUGAGCUGUGAAACAUUCCUGGUAUCAUCUCAGCUAUCUUGGACCGAGGUCGCCGUUCUGCCUUAGGAUUGCCUUACAGGUCCCAGCGGGUGUGUGGUGCGGUCGAGGCCACCUCAGCUGAGAGGGGACUAGUCCUGAGCAACGCCCUCCGAUCCCGUAGGCCAAGGAGGGAAGAGAUUGUUCAAGGUUGGACUGACGAGCGUACAGCA
Grus americana (Whooping crane) is the source of this 979-nucleotide long non-coding RNA. RefSeq lists it as uncharacterized. The transcript is spliced from 3 exons. Lineage: Eukaryota; Metazoa; Chordata; Aves; Gruiformes; Gruidae. The record is from RefSeq and is a predicted model, not a curated record.